RNAcentral lists this small RNA (559 nucleotides) under Pongo abelii (Sumatran orangutan). RNAcentral describes it as "processed transcript". The record is from RNAcentral. Lineage: Eukaryota; Metazoa; Chordata; Mammalia; Primates; Hominidae.
GAGGCGGGAGGGGGACGGCGGUGCUACGAGGUCGGCGCGCAGCUCCGCUGCGGGUCGCUCGGGCGCUGUCCAGGCGGAGCCGGCCCCGCCCGGGCUGCAGCCAUGAUCAAGCGUUUCCUGGAGGACACCACGGAUGAUGGAGAACUGAGCAAGUUCGUGAAGGAUUUCUCAGGAAAUGAGAGCUGCCACCCACCAGAGGCUAAGACCCGGGCAUCCAGGCCCCAAGUCCCGGAGCCAAGGCCCCAGGCCCCGGACCUCUAUGAUGAUGACCUGGAGUUCAGACCCCCCUCGUGGCCCCAGUCCUCUGACAACCAGCAGUACUUCUGUGCCCCAGCCCCUCUCAGCCCAUCUGCCAGGCCCCGCAGCCCAUGGGGCAAGCUUGAUCCCUAUGAUUCCUCUGAGGCUGGGGCAAAGGCCUGAAAGGGAGAGAAGAUUGGCGCUGGGUGCCGGGGCCCCUUUGGCUCCUCACCCUGACGCAUUCUGCCUUCCUGUCUACUAGGAUGACAAGGAGUAUGUGGGCUUUGCAACCCUUCCCAACCAAGUCCACCGAAAGUCCGUG